AAUUAGAUUGAUUCUGUUUAAUUAAAUUAAUUUUAAAAAUAGUAUUAUAUAUAAAUUUUUGUGUGUUGAUUAAUUAAUCUUAAUGAUUAUAUUAAUAUUAUAUUAUUAAUUUGUAGUUGUUUAUUUUGUAUAUUUUAUCAUUAAAGAUACAGUUAAUUUUUUUAGAAUUGUCAAAAGUUGUGCCAGCAGACGCGGUUAUACAAUUGAUUCGAAUUAAUUUUAUUGGUAUAUAUUUAUUAAUUAUUUUGGGAAUUUAAAUGAUAAUUUUUAAGUGAAAUUUUAAUUUUGUUUAUAUUUUCUUGGUUAAGAUUAUUUGAAAUUUAAAUAGAUAGACUAGGAUUAGAUACCCUAUUAUUUUAAAAGUAAAAUAAACCAUAGUAUUAAUAGUUAAGAUCUUUAAAUUAAAAGAAUUUGGCGGUAAUUUAGUCUUUUCAGAGGAACCUGUUCUAUAAUUGAUAAUCCACGUUGGAUUUUACUUUAAUUAUUUGUUUGUAUAUCUCUGUCAUUGAAUGUUUUAUUAGAAUAUUUUCUUAAAUCAUUAUAUAGAUUAAUGUCAGGUCAAGGUGCAGCUAUAUUAAAGGUUGAAAUGGGUUACAUUUAAUGUUAUUUAUUGGUAUAAUUAUAAUUAUUUGUAAUAAUUUUAUGAAAAAGGAUUUGAAAGUAAUUAAUAUUAAUUAAUAUUAAUGAUUUUAGCUCUAAAUUAUGCACACAUCGCCCGUCGCUCCCAUUAUUAAAAUGAGAUAAGUCGUAACAAAGUAAUUUUACUGGAAAGUGAAGUUAUAAAUAA
Molecule: non-coding RNA, 787 nt
Filed under: Chorosoma macilentum
Lineage: Eukaryota; Metazoa; Arthropoda; Insecta; Hemiptera; Rhopalidae
Also listed under: 1 other name
Source: RNAcentral